UUAGAAGACCUUGUCACUGGGGUAUAUUUCCCAGGUGCCCUUGCAGGGUUGGCGAACAUGAAGAAGUCUGGCAUGAGAGCCGAGUGGCCAUCUGUGGCCAGCAGGGACUCUGCACGUCCAUCUUCACUGGGUCCUUCACUGGGUUAUGAAAGCAACGCUGGAGACAAGCGCACCUCUGAAAAUCUCAGCUGGGCAGACUGAAUCAUCAGAAUUCCUAAUUUCCACCAUCAAAUCCACAACAUGGUAUCAGAACUAAUAAAUUGAAUGGUAAGAACAUUCAUCAAGAUGAAAGUGAAUCCCAAGUCUUUCAUUUUGCUUGCUUCUGCUGAAGUCCAGCCAGGCUUGUGCUAACUGGUGUUUUUCAUCCUUCUACAAGGAGACGUCCUUGUGAUUAUUCAAUACUGGACAGUCUCAAGUAUAACUUAAAAUACAGUUUUCCUCAAACUAAAUUAGGAGUCCUGAGAAAAUGCAUUUAUUAAAUAUAUGCAGUGUCCCAAAAUCUGUAGUGGUGGGAAUGGAGGUUUCUCUUGCAAUGUGUAUUCAAAUGGGGGAGAGAAACAAGUGUAAAUACAAUCUCAGGUGACA
Mesocricetus auratus (golden hamster) is the source of this 585-nucleotide long non-coding RNA. RefSeq lists it as uncharacterized. The record is from RefSeq and is a predicted model, not a curated record. NCBI's taxonomy places the organism in Eukaryota, Metazoa, Chordata, Mammalia, Rodentia, Cricetidae. The transcript is spliced from 4 exons.